AACGGCAGCGCGGGGCAACCUGGCGGCGAGUGGCGAACGGGUGAGUAAUAUAUCGGAACGUACCCUGGAGUGGGGGAUAACGUAGCGAAAGUUACGCUAAUACCGCAUACGAUCUAAGGAUGAAAGUGGGGGAUCGCAAGACCUCAUGCUCCUGGAGCGGCCGAUAUCUGAUUAGCUAGUUGGUGGGGUAAAGGCCCACCAAGGCUUCGAUCAGUAGCUGGUCUGAGAGGACGACCAGCCACACUGGAACUGAGACACGGUCCAGACUCCUACGGGAGGCAGCAGUGGGGAAUUUUGGACAAUGGGCGCAAGCCUGAUCCAGCAAUGCCGCGUGAGUGAAGAAGGCCUUCGGGUUGUAAAGCUCUUUUGUCAGGGAAGAAACGGUGAGGGCUAAUAUCUCUUGCUAAUGACGGUACCUGAAGAAUAAGCACCGGCUAACUACG
This 443-nucleotide ribosomal RNA is filed under the name uncultured anaerobic bacterium. Its description in RNAcentral is "bacterial SSU rRNA". It matches the Rfam family "Bacterial small subunit ribosomal RNA", at positions 65 to 505 of the family's 1533-position model. The record is from RNAcentral.